GAAAGCCUGUCUCAGUUCGGAUUGGAGGCUGAAACCCGCCUCCAUGAAGUUGGAUUCGCUAGUAAUCGCGCAUCAGCCAUGGCGCGGUGAAUACGUUCCCGGGCCUUGUACACACCGCCCGUCAAGCCAUGGGAGCCGGGGGUGCCUGAAGUUCGUGACCGCAAGGAGCGACCUAGGGCAAAACUGGUGACUGGGGCUAAGUCGUAACAAGGUACC
RNAcentral lists this ribosomal RNA (216 nucleotides) under uncultured bacterium. Its description in RNAcentral is "partial 16S ribosomal RNA". It matches the Rfam family "Bacterial small subunit ribosomal RNA", at positions 1277 to 1500 of the family's 1533-position model. The record is from RNAcentral.